CAAGUGUCUUUAUCCCAGGGUUUCAUAAAACCCACUGUUUCCUUCCUCUCAGGCUACUCUUCCCAUAUCUUUUUCUUUCUUCUUAGCUUGAUUUUACUCAACUAAUACUUAUUGAACACCUGGCGUGUAGCAAGCAUGGUGCUAAGCAUUUUCCAAAGGUAGCUGGUAUAUUUCUCACUGCACAAGAAAUAAAACUUUAUUUCCCUAAAAUAAGUUUCCUUUCUAAUGUGCACAUCCAGCUUACAUGGCUCACAUGAUGUUUUCAUUCAAACUUUCCUGAAGUUCCCAACAUCCCCUCACCCAGGGUCAUACCAGAAUCUAGUAAAUGAAAAAAUGAUGUGAGAAGUUUCAUUGGCAUGCAUGUCUUUGCUGUGCAUGUGUGUGUGUAGGUCCCUUGAGGUUUGCUAAUCUCCUGUUUCCAGGCUCUGGACAGGACCCCCAGGGCCUAGGUCCCACCUCCCCAAAAGGAUCACAUAGCACACCUUGGAGUGUAACCACAUGCUCAGAUCCACAGACUUCUCUCCAAUUCUGAAUCCAAGGAAAAGCCACUCUCUCUCUCUCUCUCUCUCUCUCUCAGCACUCUAAAGCCUAUUUCUUUUUACCUCUUCAGUGGAUUUCUGUUUCACAAAAGACAGGAAAUCCAUUCAUUUCAGAUUGCUUCGACUUCCCACCCCUACUUUGCAAAAAGACUCAAAGCCAAGAAAAUACUUUAAAAGAGUAUGUCCUCCUUGGUGGGAAAUGGAGAUAAAAAUAAGGGAAAAUUUUUACCAAAUUAUAAUUCAGUGAGAUUUCCUGCCAUAAUUUUUACACCAAGUCUGAGAAGUAAGUAUUGUUAUCACUGUUUUACAUAAGAUGAAAAAAUUUAGAGUUUAUGUUGCCCAACACCAUGCAACUGCAAAUCUUCAGCUUUAAAAAAAAUUUUUUUUUAAUUUAUUGAGAGAGUGCAACCAGGGAAAGGGCAGAGAGAGAGGAGAGAGAAUCAUAAGCAGACCCCCCAUUCAGUGCAGAACCCCAACUCAGGACUCGACCUCACAACCCUGAGAUCAUGACCUGAGCUGAAGUCAAGAAUCAGACGCUGAACCUACUGCAAUACCCAGGUGCCCCAACAAAUCUCCAGCAUUUAACUGUGGCCUGAUGGGCCUGUACUCUUGUCUCCAGCCUGAAAUGCUGGUGCUUUUCCCUUCCCAGAAUACUGCAGAGGGUCUCCAGCACUCAAGCACUCAAUCGAACACUGAAUGGCACUUGAGACUUUGUGGGAGGAACUCCCUAAAGGCAGGGAAGCAGCCACCUGAAGGAAUUAGAGGGCACAGCGCCCAGUGUCACACAAGUACUGGAGUCUUGCCUGCUCCCAAUAGCCAGAGUGCAAAACUUCAGAGGGCAGGGCAUCAUUUCCAUUUUUGCAUUCCAGCCCAAACUGAACAUCCCUGCCAAGAGGGGUCAGGGACAUGUGCUUCCUAGAAAUGCAGCCCAAACAGAGACUCCUGCCACUCUCGGUUGGGCCUCCAGCAGUGCUCUAUUUACCCCAGCUUACAAACUCAAACAUCUAAACCUGGUCCCUCACUGUCCCAUACAGUCCUUUUGCUCAAAGCCAUGAGAGAGUUCCCCUUGCCUUUACCACUUCCCACCCACAAGGCAGCCCGGCCCUGACUCAGCAAAGACAGAGUGAGAGACAGUUGAAGUGAGAGAAGUACAAACCGGAGGAAUCAUCUGGACUUUACUAUAGUCACCCUCUUCCCAACCACCACAAGGAAUAAUGGGCAGUGGAUUUGGGGGCUGUGGCUCUUGGGCAGUUAUACAAACCCAACUGGCACCAAACAUUACUUUUGUUCAGAGAUUUUUUUUUUUAAGUCAACUCUCCUAAAAACAAUUCAGAAUGUUUUUGCUCUUGGGAAACCAUGUGGCUGCUUUCCUGGUUUACACUAUUUACAGUGAGCUCAUUUUAGAGAGGCAAUUUCUGAAUCCAUCCACUAGAACAGGGACCACCAUGCUAGCGAGCCUUUGGCAACUUGCUCAAUGAAAGCAUGAAUGGACUAAGGUCUCAAUAUAAAAAAUAACAAAUACCCCAACUUAAAAUAGUCCUUCAGGCCUCAUUUUAACAGAGCCCCUGUCCAUUCAGGGACUUUUGUAAAUAACCCCACAAUUAAUGGCAUGUGUUUAUCGGCAAAGCCACUCACCUGAAAUACAGAGUGGUUGAUGUUCUCUCUGGGUAUGAAGUUUAUUUAUGAGAAAGAAAGAUUUGACCUAAGGAUAAAAAUAGAGCAGCAGUGCUCAACUAAAUUUGCAACUGCUCACCCCAAAAGCCUCGAGUAUAAUCUAUUUUGAGAAGAGUUCAAUUUGAGGUGAUACAGAAAUCUAGCUGGGCCAGGAGCUUGCAGCUAUUACCACUAUUAAUAAAACACAGAAGCGACCCUUCUCUUGUAGCAUUACUGCUGGGAAACAACAUGAUAGCACUUCACGGGUAUCAGGUGUACUUUACGUGGAAUUACGUUUAGAGCAUACUAUGUAAUUGUUACGUAUCUCUGUCAAUAGACUGGAAUCGUAAAUCAGAUUGUCACACUCCUGCUUGAGACUUCUUUAUUUUUCCAUUGCACUUAUGGUUCUAAGGGUCUACUCACCUGGUCCCUAUCAACCUUGCCCCUACGCUCAGGUACACCUGUCUCCUUUCAGAUCCUCACACAUUCCAAGAUCUUUCCCACCCCUGGUCCUUGGCCACUCUCUUCUUUCCAGUCAAAGGUCUUCUCAUCCUCCAAGUCUCGGCUUUUCUCUUGCUACCCCUUGUCCCUCUGCACCUGUUACUUCCUUCACAACCUGUAUCACAACCAUGACAAUUAGAACCAUGUCUGUCUUUUGCAGUGUCAUCCCCAACAGCAAGUAUAGGUAGCAAGUGAUCAAUAUGUUGCUAUCAACUAUCAAACAAAUAAUGAGUCAUAUUCCAAUUCAUUUCUACCAUAUUCUCACCCUAGCCCAAACUACAAAGCCCAAUGCAAGCAUUCUUCCCUGUUGCCAUCCUCAUUUUUCUCUUUUCCAUGUAAUCUUCCCUGAGCUCCUCAUUUUUCAGUGUUUAGAGACAAGGCAUAUGAAGGGCCAGAGAUGUGCGUGGAAUAUAGUGGCUGUUCCAUAAAUACAGCAGUCAUUAGUAUCAUCAUGUUCAGUUCUUCCUGGGGAUUCCAAUAGCUGGUUUCCAGCCAUCACUCUUUUUCUCUUACCACCUUCGUGACGUUUCCCAUAUCCCUUUAAAAUCUCUCCUACUUCUGUUAUAAUGUGUUUUUUAUUUCACAAAUAUCUUCCUACUUAAACAAAUUUAUUUUUGAAGGAAGCUUUAUAGAAAUGAAAAACGCAUUUCACCAACCACGAAAGGGGCAACUGUAAAAAGUAACAUAAAGAAAACAAAGCAAUACGCUGUCCUCUUUUCCUUUUUUUCUGAAAGGGGGAUUAGCAACUGCUAGAGAUAUUAGGAUGCUAGUGUGAUCCUUUCUUCAAGACACAAUCAGAAAAUUCCUUACUCUUGUUUCAUUACUUAAAGUUGUGUCCAUCUCAACCAUUCUACCUACCAUUUAGAUCCCUGUCAUAUUGUACUACUACUAACACUUUUUAUUAUUUAUUAUUAUUUAUUAUUUUCUACCUGAAUGGGUUCAUUACACUUUUACAGCUAUGCCUUAACCCACUGUCUUAUUUCUUUUUAUAUCCUCCAUGAUUCAUAGGUUGAUACCUUAUACAGAAUAUAUGUUUAAGACAGUCUCAGUUGAGCUUAAUACUUAGAGCUUUAAACCAACUAAUUUAUCAUAAGAACCUACUUCUCCAAAAGUCAAAAUAUUUUUCAAAGAGAUUGGUGAAAGAGUGUAUUCAAGAGGUCUUCUGGUUCCCC
Molecule: long non-coding RNA, 3865 nt
Filed under: Canis lupus familiaris (dog)
Lineage: Eukaryota; Metazoa; Chordata; Mammalia; Carnivora; Canidae
Description: lncRNA (ENSCAFG00000055587.1)
Source: RNAcentral